GGUGGAAUGAAGAUUGGCAGGGGAAACCGAAGUACUCUGAGAAAAUCUUCCACGUUGACCACCACAUACCAGACCCGGGAUCGAACCCGGGCCGCCGCGGUGGGAAGCCAGCGACGAACCGCUUGAGCUAUGGCGCGGCCAUCUUGUAGUUUAAUGACACUUAAAAUACGAUAGAUGUGUGGUGUUGAGUAUAAAUUAUUUUAUAAGUUGAAUAAUUUUGGUGUUUCUACAAAAUUAUUAUGAGCCGCAUAAGAAAUUCCCGAGAGAUUGAUCAUCACUCUUAUUGAUAUCCAAAAAUGGCAGUUCGCUCAGUGGUUAAUGGUUAUGACACUCAAGUUUACCUCAGUGACAGUUGCGAAACAAGUGAGGUAAGGAGUGUUUGUUGUCAUAAAUUUAAAACAGAACUCAGAUCAGUGCAAAAAAUUAUUGAACUGCUACAAGAAGAGAUAAACACGUUCAAUCGUACCCGCCAGAAGAGAUACUGUCCCACAUCAAGAUUGAGCCCAAUGACAGCAAACUGGACCUACAGAUAGCCCUCAAGAAAGCACGGAGACUGAAGCUGCAGGAGGCUGUUUACAGAAUCAAAAAAACAGUGUAGAAAAGGUGGCAGAGUCAGUACUGGGGAGAAACUCAGAAGGGAACACGGAAGGUGGUUCCAUUGUGGUGAAUGCUACAGCACAAUUCUGCCGUACGUUGUGUGACAUCCCAUUUGUGGUCUGGCUGGCAACAGGGAUGAGGACGCUCAGGAACUGCUUGACUUUGAGAGGGAAAUGAUUGAGGAGAAAAAACCUCAGGAAGAAGAAGGCAAACGUGGAGCUUGGAAUGAAGUUGAGAUUGAGAUGAUUAGAAGUUUGGGUAUCGUGAGCGCUACAGUGGUCUGACCUCAGACUUCAAAGGAAAGGAGGGCUACAAACCAAACGUUAAACUCGACUACACAGAUGAUGAUGGCCAUGUACUUAAUGCAAAGGAUGC
Long non-coding RNA from Cryptotermes secundus, 972 nucleotides. RefSeq lists it as uncharacterized. Lineage: Eukaryota; Metazoa; Arthropoda; Insecta; Blattodea; Kalotermitidae. The record is from RefSeq and is a predicted model, not a curated record. The transcript is spliced from 5 exons.